UGAACACCCUCUGUCGAUAGACACAGUAGGUAAGGGAAGUCGGCAAAUCGGAUCCGUAACUUCGGGACAAGGAUUGGCUCUGAGGAUCGGGGCGGUUGGGCUAAAUUAGGAAAUGGUGUGUGCUCACGUGCUGGGCCUGAAUAAAACCUUUACGGGUUGAGUUUGGUCCCUUGCCGCGGCCUGCUAUGGAUUAUUUUGGCUAUGAGAGCCAGUGAAAAGUAUUUUUUUGUAAAGUAUGAUUACUGGAAUUAACUCUCUUCGGCCUCCAUUGAACAAUCGACUCAGAACUGGCACGGACCGGGGGAAUCCGACUGUCUAAUUAAAACAAAGCAUCGCGAUGGCUCUCGCGGGUGAUGACGCGAUGUGAUUUCUGCCCAGUGCUAUGAAUGUCAAAGUGAAGAAAUUCAACCAAGCGCUGGUAAACGGCGGGAGUAACUAUGACUCUCUUAAGGUAGCCAAAUGCCUCGUCAUCUAAUUAGUGACGCGCAUGAAUGGAUUAACGAGAUUCCCACUGUCCCUAUCUACUAUCUAGCGAAACCGCAGCCAAGGGAACGGACUUGGAUCCAUCGGCGGGGAAAGAAGACCCUGUUGAGCUUGACUCUAGUCUGGUUUUGUGAGGAGACACGAGAGGUGUAACAUAACUGGGAGACACUUUUAUUUUUUAAAAGGGUCAAAUUUGAAAUACCUCUACUCCCGUCGUUUCCUCACUUACUCGGUGAGGCGGGGAGCGACUAUUAAUUUCUUCGGAAAUUAUAGUCGAAAUUGUUGAGCCAAGUUCCUAGUCCCUUAGAGGGCAGGUACUCUUUGGAGGGUUUAUAUAUAUUUGGGUAACCAUGUGUAUAUUUACUUAGAAGAUUAGUACUGAGACGACUCGUCCCGGAGGACAGCCGCCGGGCG
RNAcentral lists this ribosomal RNA (897 nucleotides) under Novacerus tasmanicus. Its description in RNAcentral is "partial large subunit ribosomal RNA". It matches the Rfam family "Eukaryotic large subunit ribosomal RNA", at positions 1873 to 2614 of the family's 3401-position model. The record is from RNAcentral. Lineage: Eukaryota; Metazoa; Arthropoda; Collembola; Entomobryomorpha; Tomoceridae.